UUGUCCCUUGCCCUCGCGCGCCCCGUGCUCUUCGUCGUCUUCGCCAGCCCAGGUGGCAGGAAGCUACCCAUAGCCAGCCUCGUCUUCUCGGCCAAAUCCUUCUUCGGUGCACCGCUGGCCGCCACCUCGGCCUCCGUCGCUUUGUCGCUCCUGUGCCAGUGGCUGCCUCCAGCUCGCUCGAGGUCGUCGCUACGGGGAAGAAGGGGCCUUUCCGACCAAAUCCUUCUUUGGCGCGCCACUGGCCGCCACCGCGGCCUCCGUCGCGUUGCCACUCCCGCGACAACCGGCCGCCUCCAACUCGCUUGA
RNAcentral lists this unclassified non-coding RNA (306 nucleotides) under Zea mays. RNAcentral's name for it is "misc RNA Zm00001eb000280". The record is from RNAcentral. Lineage: Eukaryota; Viridiplantae; Streptophyta; Magnoliopsida; Poales; Poaceae.